Molecule: long non-coding RNA, 2633 nt
Organism: Rattus norvegicus (Norway rat)
Lineage: Eukaryota; Metazoa; Chordata; Mammalia; Rodentia; Muridae
Source: RefSeq, a predicted model, not a curated record
AUACAGUCCUAGAGCUAGAACUGGGGGCUUAGCGACUAUCAGGCAGGCACUCCACCCCGUGAGCUGCAUCGCCAGCCUCUCUGUUGACUCUUUGAAGGGAAGAAGCCAAGGAGGAAUUCUAUUGCACAACAGGCAACAAAGUUUCUAAAAACUUGUCUUUCCAAAUUCCUCUCCUCAGAAUUAAACUCCCACAGCUGCUGUUUCUCUCUGCUUCUCUUUCUCCCCCUUUUCUGCAGUCCUCAGACUUGCUUUUCUCAGUUUCUCUCUCAUCUCCAGGGACAACCGACUGCUGCCGACAAACCCUGCAGAGGACCCAGCAGCCUGCUCUCACCAGGCUGAUAUCCCUGACGUGUUUCCAAGGAGUACACACAACCCACUCUCCCCAGAAUGGCUAUUGCUGACCAAAUGCAAAAAGACUGUCCACCCAUGCUCCUUGUGGAUUACUACAUACAUCCAUGCUCUGUAUGGCUCACCUACACCCUUGACCUUGGUGAUCCAUUCAGUUCUUCAUCACUGGAACGAUUCAGGAAGAAGGACAGACACAUCAGGAACUCUUGGUGUCUAAGACUUAGUGACUGCAAAUAUUUCUGCCCCUAUCUAUCCCUUCAGCUAUAACCAACUAAUAAUCAAUAUCGUUAUCAGACUUCCUCCCUCCUUCCUUCUCUCCCUCUUACCCUUCCUCCCACCCACAACCCCUUCAUAAAACUAAGAACCAAGUAAUCUCAUCUCACAAACCCUGAGAGGGGAGAUGGUUCUGAGGAGUGCUUGCCUAGCAUCUGCGAAGCUCUAGAUGAUCUCCAGCACCACCUUACCAACUAUGAUGGUGCUCACCUGUAGCGUACUUGUGAGAUGGAAGGAGGUCGUCACCCUUGACUAUGAAUCUAGUUCAAGGUCAACCUGAGAUUCACAAGAGGCUAUGCCGGUAAAAUAAGAUGAAUGGAAACUAAAUUGAGGAAGGUAUUGCCCGGUGUUAGCUAAUUUUUGCGAAUCCAUUUGUGGAGCACUUUAGUUUGUGUGAACAGCCCUCUGACUCAUCCUAUGAAUUAGAAAAACCAAGCGCGAGAGAUUAAACUGCCUAGAACAAUCCCCGAAGGGCUUAUUUGUGUGUCUGUGGCCAGAUGCAAGCAUGUGAACUACGUGAGGAUGAGCAAAUGAAUCAGUUCCUAGAUUUAAAAAAAAAAAAGUGGCAGAGACCCACUCAGGAACAAGCACGCAACGGGCGUUCACCUCUUCGGGCAGCAACGCUAGAAACACCGCUCCACAGUCCUACCCUAAAGGAUCCAAGAACUUCAGGGCCUAAAAACCGGUGUGCAUGCACUCUUCACCAACCACAGUACUAUGUGUGUGCAGGGUGGAAGGCGCACAGGCGAGGAACUGUGCAGCAACUAAAAACUUGUUUGACAGCGCUGCGCCCGAUCACCCAAUUCCUUUCCAGGCCCACCGCAGCCCGGGCCCCCAGCCCGCUCCGCUCCCUCAGGCUGUAACUCCGGGCCACGUUUUCGCGUUCACUCUCCCGCCCCCCUCCCCGCCCCCCUCCGCCAACACCGGGUUACUGCUCCCCCGCCAGGAGUAAACAAGCCGCCGGAGCCCGCAGCCAGUAGGCCGGGCCCCUGAGCCCAGUUUCCUGCGCCAGCCCUAGCAACAGUCUCCGCCCCCACGACAGACCCCGCCCGCAUGCCUUCUUCCACUCCCCCCUCCCCCAAACCCCCACCCCUCUAUUCCUUCUCUGGCCCGGUCCCUGAGCACUAGAGGCCGGGAGCCUCCAGCCAGCCUCCUCCCAAGGGACCGCCCCGCCCACGCGCCCGCGCCCACGUGACUCGCACUAAGGGCGGGAGAGAAAACGGAGCUGGAGGCGUGGCCAGAUCCCGCCCCGCUCCUCCCUGCGGCCUUCGCGGCCUGGCUCCGCUCCAGCCUUCUAGCUGGGCUGGGUUUCGUGGCGGCAUGGAUACCGCUGCUGUUUCUGCAGGCGUAGCGCGCUCCGCUCCAUCUUCCCCUAUAGCCUUCGCUCGGCGGAAGCUUUUAAAAAAUUUUCUGCCUGAGCCCCAGAACCGACCUUUCGGUCCUUAAACGUAUGCAUUCUGGCUGUGUAAACGCGCCGUAAACGCGCCCCCCUGCGCAGUCAGGGCGGCUCACUAGUCGCUCUUUCCUAGAAGGUGAGCGAACCUGAGGUUCAGGACAGAGAAGAGAUCCACUGUGGAGGAGACUCCACCUCCUGUUGCUUCUCUGCCUGGUCUCUUCCUGCACUUCAGGGUCAAAAGACUGACCACUCCAAACCUGCAACCCAGUCCAGUCAGCCAGCACCCUCUCAGCCCCCCACAUCAUCCGGGGACAGCACGUCUGCUAAUGGAGCUAGGCACAGCUGGCCAAGAAAGGUGGGGAACCUUCCCGGCAGUACUUUCUUGUGCCUGUGACAAGAGAAAGGACUGAACAGGUCAGAAUUUAGCAGCCCGCUUCUCCUCCUACUUGGGCAAAUCAUUUGACUUCUCUUUGCUGUAUUCCAGAGAUGACUUAUACCCCAGAGGAGUGACGGUAACUACCUAAUAGAGAUGUUGCACAGAUUAAUGCUAGUAGAUCAGGUGUUCAGUAGAUCAGGCAUCCAAGCUAAUAAAAAAAAGAUCACUUAGGACUGGUCA